CCAGAGAACUUAGCAGAGAUGCUUUGGUGCCUUCGGGAACUCUGAGACAGGUGCUGCAUGGCUGUCGUCAGCUCGUGUUGUGAAAUGUUGGGUUAAGUCCCGCAACGAGCGCAACCCUUAUCCUUUGUUGCCAGCGGUCCGGCCGGGAACUCAAAGGAGACUGCCAGUGAUAAACUGGAGGAAGUGGGGAUGACGUCAAGUCAUCAUGGCCCUUACGAGUAGGGCUACACACGUGCUACAAUGGCGCAUACAAAGAGAAGCGACCUCGCGAGAGCAAGCGGACCUCAUAAAGUGCGUCGUAGUCCGGAUUGGAGUCUGCAACUCGACUCCAUGAAGCCGGAAUCGCUAGUAAUCGUAGAUCAGAAUGCUACGGUGAAUACGUUCCCGGGCCUUGUACACACCGCCCGUCACACCAUGGGAGUGGGUUGCAAAAGAAGUAGGUAGCUUAACCUUCGGGAGGGCGCUUACCACUUUGUGAUUCAUGACUGGGGUGAAGUCGUAACAAGGUAAGCGUACGUGU
Molecule: ribosomal RNA, 520 nt
Filed under: uncultured bacterium
Lineage: Bacteria
Description: bacterial SSU rRNA
Rfam family: Bacterial small subunit ribosomal RNA
Source: RNAcentral